Camelus dromedarius (Arabian camel) is the source of this 1077-nucleotide long non-coding RNA. RefSeq lists it as uncharacterized. The transcript has 2 exons. The record is from RefSeq and is a predicted model, not a curated record. Lineage: Eukaryota; Metazoa; Chordata; Mammalia; Artiodactyla; Camelidae.
CAUUCCUGUAGGCAGCUCACUGCUAACAAAGACACCGAAGCUGGACUGCCCAGGGAUCCUCUUGGAGGUGUCUCCGUGAUUCCAGAGAAAAUGGUGCACAGACUGAGGUGAGUUCGGGAGAAGACCCGGCAUGCAAACAUUCUCCUGGGGAGACCUGGUCUCGAGGGAAGCCACGGCCUGGGGAAGCCUAGGACGCACGCGGCUAAUUACAACUGAGACUACAACUUUGUAGAAUGCCGUCGGGGGUCACUGAGAGGCCACGGACCCGGAGUCCUCCGAUUUGCCAUGUCGAUCAGCUUCAGCGGGACCAAGAUAGCAAUGCAUAAGUCAGGGAGGAGGAAAGGGGAGCGUAGCAAACCGCGCAGGAACCGUCCAGCUGGCGUCAGAGCCAGGGGCAGCGCGGUGCAAGGCUGGGUGGGCUCUGCGCCUGGCCUGGGGCGCCCAGGGCCGGCUGCAGACUGCGGGUCCGCUCCUACACUUCCUUCUUGAGCUGCACAUGCCGCACCUCGAUGGGACGCAGCGGGAGGGAAGCACGGAGGUGCGGGGUGUCCAUUUGGACUUAAAGCCCUCAGAUACGGAGAUUAAAGCCCAGGUGGCGGUGGACUGGCCAAUCCUGCUAUCGCUAGCCGCCUCCCAGCGGCUCCCGAGCAUUGCGAGGGACAGCAGAGCCAGUGCGCUUGGGCAAAGGCGGCUGCCCGGCUUUCUUCCGCCAGCAGGAGUCCAAGGACCCGCCUUCGUUCAUAGAAACCCAUCCGUUCCCCCGGCCGCGGCCGGAUAGCACCGCGUAGCCGCCCGGCUGUUGAUUAGUCCAGGAAAUGUCCGCGAGGUCAUCCGCACAACAAAGGCGGCCCCAAGCGGCGCCUUCAGUCUUGUAAAUACCCGGCCGGGUCCCCGGGCGAAGCGGAGCCCCGGGAGAGGAGCAGCCCAAGGAUCCCGCCGCUACUCCGCUCCCCUCCCCCACGACUUUGGCGAGCAUUCAUUUGAAAUGUUAAUGUUUUGAAGCUUCCCUCUGUGCCCGGAUCUGUCUCCUUGAAAGCGGGCUGAAGCCUCUGGGGUUAAUAAACAAACCGGCAUUUG